This is a long non-coding RNA of Balaenoptera musculus (blue whale), 4387 nucleotides long. RefSeq lists it as uncharacterized. The record is from RefSeq and is a predicted model, not a curated record. NCBI's taxonomy places the organism in Eukaryota, Metazoa, Chordata, Mammalia, Artiodactyla, Balaenopteridae. The transcript has 11 exons.
GUAUCUGUUGUUUUUCAAAUUCUUUUCCCAUUUAAGUUAUUACAGAAUGCUGAGGAGAGAGGUAAGUUUUUAAUCCAGAGCUGGUCUGGUUUCUUCCUUGCUUUUACAGACCUCCCUCACUGGCAGUACAUUUUGAUAUUAGGCACAGCAUAAUCUUUCAUCUCUAGAAAUUUGGCCGGUUUUACCAUUUGCAAAUCACUCUUAUCAAUUACAAAUUAUUUUUGUUGCUUAAAACAAUGAAGGAAGCAACGGAUUUGUGUACUGGAGCAAAGGUGCAUAUACAUUACAGGAAGGAGUGAGUCUGGCUUCAGUCCCCACUGCCCUGCCCCUUGGACUUCCGUUCAGUCCUUAGAUCAGCUGACUGCUCAAACUCAUUCUUAAUAAGUUCCCUGUGGAUAACUCCUUUCACUUUGGAUGUCCUCCUUAACCUUCACUCAAGGAAAAGGUUCAAUCACUCAAUCCCUUCACGCUUUUUACUUCCGCUCUCUUGCAGAUAACCUGGACCUGGACAGCAGGAGGCUAUCCCAGUUCACGGAAUGGGGGCUGGCAGUUUUGGAUGCUAGCCUGUGGGAAGUGACCAGCAGAAAGGCAGGGUGAGGCCAUUCUAGGCAGAGGGAGCACGCUGGGCUGACACAGGGCCCUCCAAUAAAUGUGGAAGACAGAAUGGACAGGUGAGAACCUUGGGACAAAAAUCAUUCAUAAAGCUGUUGCAGUGAUCCAGAGCCCUGAACAGAGUUGGUAGUUUGAUCCUAAUCAUACUGAUGAGGAACUUCUAAAAAGAUUCUCAGAAUCACAUGAAAGAAAUCAUAGGUUCUCUCUGACAGAGGCACAGGCACCCCACAUUUUAUGUUCCAUUUCCAGGAUUUCACAAACUUGAAGCCCAUGCUCCAUGGCCCAGAGAGAGAAGGCAGCCGAAGACGAAACCCUGGAGAAGAGAGUAUUGUGGAUAACUGGAAUCGGUAUUGAGAUGAAAAGUUAGAAGAACCUGGGCAGGGAGAUUGCCAAAGAAUUAAAAAGUAUGAGUGUGGCUAAGUGAUGGCCUUGCCUGCAUUUUCGAGGAAGAACUGGAAGCUGCCAUUCUGCACAGGGAAAAUUAUGCCACUACAGGAGAUUUCCGAAUGACAAGAGGUGAUUAACGGAGGCUGCGGAUCAUCAACCCCAGGUGUACGAUACGGGGGUAGGACCAGGACAGCAAACUCAAAUGGCAGUGGAGACAGGCAGGUGCUGUAAGGUAACAAACAGGGCAGGCCGGGUGAACCGGGCCUGCUGGAGAUGUGCUAGCCAUUCGGCUGGACUGGAAAUGGGAGCUCAGAGUUAACCUGAUCUGUCCGUUUUUCCAGAGAAGCUAGAUGAGAGGUGAUUUUUGAAUUUUCUUUCAAUUUUUAGAUGGCAACCAUACAUCUUUUUUUCUUAAAAACGUAUGGGGGUCAGGGGGCCGAUGACAGUUGCAGCCCAUCGGUGACCAGUUUGCAGCUUGGUAGCUUCAGGAAGCCUCCUUUGGCGUCCUGACUUGCUUUGGGUUUCUGAACCUUUUGUAUCCGCAAUUGUGAGAAAUACAGGCCUGGACCUAAAACUUCCUCGACGAGCCUUUAAUCAAGAUUUAAAAUACUGCCACUGGUCAAAAAGCAGAGAACCAAGGUUUGAAAUUAGCAUUCUACGUAGUCUUACUACGUAACAAACGUUAAGUGAAAAACAUCAAUGAGGUGGUCAAAUACAAAAAAAUUCUCCGUUUUUCCCAUAAAACAUGGCUUAGAUGGCCCAAUUUAUUAAUUUUAUGUGACAGCUUUCUACCAACACUCAUGGUAAUUAAUGUGCAUAUGUUAUAGUUUGUAAUGUUUUCAUAUAAAUGAACCUCAUAAUAAGCCUGGUUUUCUCCUCCAUUUUACAGCUGAGGAAAUAGGCUGAAGGAAGUAAUUUCUCCCAGCAUCAGACAGCCAGCAUGAGGAGAGCUGGGAUCAGAAUUUGGUUUUCCAGCUGCAGUGUCCUGUGCUCAUUUCUCCUAUACCAUAUGGCCACAUUAAAAAGAAAUGUGUUAGGUUCCAAUUUUAUUUUCACUUCCAAACUGAUACUCUGAAGCUAACACAGAGACUCUGAUUUUGUAUUAAAAAAUACAUAUGCAUAGGACUAAAUAUAGAGAAUAUUCAUCAAAAUAUUAAUAGGUGUUAUUACCUCUGCAGGGUAGAAUGACAAGGCAAGUCGACUUUAGUAUCCUGAAUUUCUUUUGCAAUGAGCAUAUUCUUUUUCAGGAAAAGAAAGGAAAAACUGGACUCCUUCACCUCAGAACUGUAUUGUUUACUCAUCAUGAGGCAGUUUACUCACCUGGACCUUUAUCUGCAGUCUUAAGAGUUUUCAGCUUCCCCAUCUAGCACUGGGAGUGAAGAACAUUUCUUGUUUCUUUUAGUAUCUCUUACCUGUUAUCCUCAUCUAAUUUUAGGCUGGUGGGGCUAAAAUGGUAAAACAAACAAAAAAGCCGGGAAGGGGGGAAUGGAGAGUGUUCUGUGGCUUUUUGCUCUCUUUUAGGCCAACACUCAAUCUAAGCCUCGACUGAAAAGCCGUGGUUGCUGUGUGUGAUCACAUCAGUCCAGGUGGUUUUUAGAGGUGGGAGUUGAGGGAAGGAGUUAUUUUAAGAAACUGACAUUUUAAUCCUACUUCUUCCCCUCUAGCAUGAACUGCAAUGCGAUAACUGGCUGAAAACAGAGCCCUAAUUUUUAAAUGGGCACAGGGAACACACUCUACCAAAACUGCUCUUGUCAAGGUCACCAUUCAGCAAGCCUGGGAUCCUCUCUUUCAGCAAAUCCGGCUGCCUCUACAGUUUAUUCCACCACUCCCCAUCGUCCCUGCAGCUCAGGGCCAUGGUGACACUUAAAAGGUAACAUUUUGAUUGAUGCCCAGUAGUUGAGAGGAUGGUCGCCGGUGUACUGCAGGUGUCUUAUCUACCAGAAUUAACGUGACCCUACAAGUGCCUAUUCAUAUGAAGCGUAGGUGUCAAAGAAUGAAGCCAUCCACAGCUACACAAUUUACAUAGUUGCAUCUCCAGACUGCAGCUGCGAAACCCACUGGUACCUGUUCUUCUGGGACUGAAGUACACAGAGAAAACUACCCAACCAGAUAUAACCAGCCCUGUGAGUCCUACCCAGAUCCAAAGAACAGCAGGGGAAACCUCUAAAGAAGAAAUCUUGAUGUUAUGAUUUAGGAACAAGAUGUAGAUAACAGCACUAGACUUGAUGUACAAGCAAACUGACUCAAAGAUGCCCUCUGCUGAGGAAGAGAACGAGGAAAUUUCUGGCUCCAUAGUUUGGGUACACUUAAGAUCUGCGCAUUUUGUAAAGAUUACUGAAAACCCACCCACCCACCCAUAAACAAACAUUGAUAUGCAUGCUAAGGUGACUGGGGAUGAAAUGUACUGGUGUCUGACACUUCCUUUCAAGUGGUUAAAAAUAAGAUGGAAGGUGAUAAAACAAAUAUAACAAAAUGUUAAUAAAUUACAGAAUCAAGGCUCUAUGGGAAUUUACGGUGUAACUCUUUACAAUUUUCUGCAUGUUUGAAAUUUUUCAUAAUAAAAUAUUAGAAAAAAACCAGAAUGGCUAAAAAGAGUGUGGUCUUUUAAAAUGAAAUGCAGCUUCAUUAAAAACUGCUUUUUUCACUGUGAGCCACUGCAAACUACAUCUUCAAAGUUAAAAGGCCAAUGUUUGUUUGGGAACCACUUACAUAUCUAGACACCACCUGGACAGCUCACAUUCUGAACAUCUACUUCUCUCCAACUCUACUCCCACGACCCUGGGUCCAAGACACAGGAACAUCUCCUCCAUGAGCUACUGAACAGACCACCUGGUCUCCCCAUCCAGCAUGCACUAAGACGGAGCAUGGAACCGUGUUACCCACCAGAGGCUUAAAAUGCUCCAGUGGCUCCCCACAGCACCAGGAUUAAAACCCAAGUUCCCCACCAGGCCCUACACGGCCAUACACUGCCUGUCUCUCCCACGGCUACCCUCCUACCCCCACUACUAUGCUGCAGCUACGCAUCUUUCUGUGCCAUUGUAUUCUCUAUGUAGACUAACCUGAAAUGACUUACAUGUUUAGCUCUCUAUCUUACACUUCACACUAGGUCCUAAGAGUCACUACUGUAGUAGCAGUGUGGUUCACGAAGAUGUAACAGAGACGACUUCUGCUCCAGUUAUUAUUAAAAGUAGACUUCUGUUCCAUCUUUGCUACUACAGUAGAAACACAUCAUGAAAGCAGAGAUAACAGAUAUGAUUGUUUUGAUAUUGAAAGAAAAAUUCUUAGAUCUUUUUUUUAUAAUUGAGGGAAGCAAUGUAAAUGGAGAAAAUAUACAAGUUCACACAUGCAAAGAUAACUGUAAAAAAUAAAUUGACAUGAUGUUAUUUAA